UUAAGUAGUGGUGCCGUUCUUAUUAAAUCUCAAAAAGUAAUAAGAGCUGUUCAUUACUUAUCA
RNAcentral lists this microRNA precursor (63 nucleotides) under Caenorhabditis japonica. RNAcentral describes it as "microRNA mir-251 microRNA precursor family". It matches the Rfam family "microRNA mir-251 microRNA precursor family". Lineage: Eukaryota; Metazoa; Nematoda; Chromadorea; Rhabditida; Rhabditidae. The record is from Rfam by way of RNAcentral.